AAUGGGAGAAUUAAUGGUGUAUGUGAAUGGUUUGUGUUAUUGGGAAAAAUAUACAGAAAAAAAGUGUCUUAAAGCAAAGGAGGUGGAAUUGAUUUAAUUAUUAGUUUGUAAAAAGGAGGUGGAAGUUUAUAAGUUAUAGUUCUUCCCACUCCUUUUCGAGCA
Molecule: long non-coding RNA, 162 nt
Organism: Sphaeramia orbicularis (orbiculate cardinalfish)
Lineage: Eukaryota; Metazoa; Chordata; Actinopteri; Kurtiformes; Apogonidae
Exons: 3
Source: RefSeq, a predicted model, not a curated record